This 85-nucleotide transfer RNA is filed under the name Felis catus (domestic cat). It matches the Rfam family "tRNA". Rfam says of the family: Transfer RNA (tRNA) molecules are approximately 80 nucleotides in length. Their secondary structure includes four short double-helical elements and three loops (D, anti-codon, and T loops). RNAcentral also lists the same sequence under 2 other names. Lineage: Eukaryota; Metazoa; Chordata; Mammalia; Carnivora; Felidae. The record is from Rfam by way of RNAcentral.
GCCUGGGUGGCUCAGUCAGUUGAGCAUCUGACUUCGGCUCAGGUCAUGAUCUCGCGGUCCGUGAGUUCGAGCCCCGCGUCAGGCU